UUUAAAUGGGUCGUAGCAGUCACUAUAAUAAGUGUGCCUGGAGCCAGUGGGAGCUAUCGGGCUGCUAUAAAAGUGGGUGGGGAGGAACAGCGCUGAGCACCCGAGGGCCGCCUGCUGCCCUACAGAGAGCUGCCAGCCCUUGUGGGGCUCUGCACCCACCCCCUGUGCUGACAUUGAAGGCUGGGGGGCUGCUCCUGCUGAGGGGAUCCCGAAUUUGAGUGGAAAAAGGUGAAACUGAGCAGUGCGAGGAAACCCAGCAGGGAGGAGGGAGCUGGGCUCUGCUUCGCUCUCAGCUGUUCCCGAGUGCUCGGCCCGCACACAUCCCUCGUGCCACAUCGACAGCGUUCUGUGAGCCAGGAGCACGGGAAGGUGCUCAGAAAUGUGAGAGAGGAGAGCUCAGCUCCUACUCUGAGUGGAAAAACCGUGCCUGUGGUGUGUGAUGGAGGGGGGAUGGGAUGGCUGGUACCUGCCGGGAGCCCCGAGGGUGCUGCAGCUCCUGGACUUUCACAGCUGGGGAACAAAUCUUGCUAUGAAAUGAAUACAGCAUGAUGGCUUCUGCAGGCAAUGGGAAGGUCGGCAGUCGGCUGUCACAUGCAGAAAUGUGAUGAGGGAUGGGAUGAGGGGUGGGGUGAUGGAGCCGCCCAUCACCCCGCAGGGCUGAUGCAGGCUCUGUGCUGAGCUGCAGGGAGAAGCGGACAUCCAUCCCCCAAAUUCCACCAAUGGGCUGCAGUCCGGCUGGAGUGGUGCUCACAGCUGGGGAUCCAUCCCACUCUGUGCUGGGUUGGGGUGGUGGGAUGUAGGGAAAUAUCAUCUCUGGGCCCCCAACCAAGGCACCGGUCCAGGCGGUGCUCCCAGCUUUGACAGCCCGGUGCCAAAUCCAUCCUUUCUCCCUGUGCAGAGUGAAACCUGUUGCAAUUCGUAACAGCAACGCUUCAGCUCAGCUCCAGCUGUGCACCGGGCAGGAGGGAUGCUGGGCAGGGCUGCAUCCCACUCCUUCCCUUAUGCGUCUUCCUUUAGGAUCAGAAAGGCCUUUUGUAGGGCACGGAGAGCUGAGAGCCCGCAGUCCCAUUGUGCAACAGCUGUGGAGGCAUUCGAGGAAACAGAAAAACAUCCGCAGCACUGCCAGGACACAGCAAAGGCAGUGAGUGCAGCUCCAGAGCUGGGAACGAGCCGUGCAGAGAGGGAAAUUCCUUGCAUUCUUAGCAGUGGGAAGGUGGAAUUGGGGUAGAACACCGAGUGAGUGCCAAGGUAUCAAGAACGCCCUUCUUGCUUUUAACCACUGUGCUCGUGUUGAAUUCAGGGAUGUUUUUGGAGUGGAUUUGAUCUGUUGAAAGAAGCACCGUGCUGGAUGUGAGGGGAGGGAAGCAGAGCACUGCUGUGUCCCUGAGGCAGAUCCCAGCUCACGGCUCGGGGCAGCUGUGCUGGUGCUGUAACCACGUACAGCUCCUGAUCCUCCUCUCCCUGUUUGCUCCCCGGGCACCGUGUGGGGGCUGCGAACUGCAGCCUGAAAAUGGAUCUGUGUGAGUCACGGCUUAAAGCCAGGAAAGAAAAAAAAACCACCAAUAAAGCGAUCCGAAGCCAUAAAAC
This 1587-nucleotide long non-coding RNA is filed under the name Gallus gallus (chicken). RNAcentral's name for it is "long non-coding RNA NONGGAT003459". The record is from RNAcentral. Lineage: Eukaryota; Metazoa; Chordata; Aves; Galliformes; Phasianidae.